This 520-nucleotide ribosomal RNA is filed under the name uncultured archaeon. RNAcentral describes it as "bacterial SSU rRNA". It matches the Rfam family "Archaeal small subunit ribosomal RNA", at positions 352 to 875 of the family's 1478-position model. The record is from RNAcentral.
AAACGGCGCAAAGCGCGAUGAGGGAUCCCAAGUGCCAGCUCGUAAGAGUUGGCUGUUUCUCUGUCUAAAAAGCAAAGAGAGUAAGGGCUGGGUAAGACGGGUGCCAGCCGCCGCGGUAAUACCUGCAGCUCGAGUGGUGGCCGCUAUUAUUGGGCCUAAAACGUCCGUAGCCGGUUUUAUAAAUGCCUGGGUAAAUCGUGUGGCUUAACCAUACGAAUUCCGGGUAGACUGGUAAACUUGAGACCGGGAGAGGCUAGAGGUACUCCUGGGGUAGAGGUGAAAUUCUGUAAUCCUGGGGGGACCACCAGUGGCGAAGGCGUCUAGCUAGAACGGGUCUGACGGUGAGGGACGAAGCCCUGGGGCGCAAACCGGAUUAGAUACCCGGGUAGUCCAGGGUGUAAACGCUGCUUGCUUGAUGUUAGUUGGGCUCCGAGCCCAACUAGUGUCGGAGAGAAGUUGUUAAGCAAGCUGCCUGGGGAGUACGGUCGCAAGACUGAAACUUAAAGGAAUUGGCGGGGGA